Papaver somniferum (opium poppy) is the source of this 744-nucleotide long non-coding RNA. RefSeq lists it as uncharacterized. Lineage: Eukaryota; Viridiplantae; Streptophyta; Magnoliopsida; Ranunculales; Papaveraceae. The record is from RefSeq and is a predicted model, not a curated record. The transcript is spliced from 3 exons.
UAAUAGAUCCGCCGGUUUUUCCGUUGAUUCCAAAACAAUCAGGGCUAAACUAGACCUUUCUGUUUUCUCUUCUUUCUUCUUCCUCGAACAACAGAGGAACCCCAACUCCAAAAUCCCAGUUCAAUACCUAGGUUUCCAUUGAAAUUUUCUCUUAUUUCUUCGUCGUCCCUAAAUCGAUCAGAGAUUACUCCAGACCCAAAAUGAAUGUUUUCUUAGGAUUGUAUUUGUGAUUUCAUUAGUGUUUUGUACAAUGAUUUCAUUAUUUUUCAAUUUUGUACAAAAAUUGAAAUCCCAACUGAAAUCGAUUUCCAGGCUCGAAAACUCAUCACAUCCUGGGGUUGAGGGAGGUCCCAAGGUUCGAUUGUUCAUAUUUGGAAAGGAUUAAUUUAUUUCAGAAGAUUGGUUAGAUAAAAUCCAGUCAGACGAGCAACUUCUAUAAUGAAAACGGACGAAAUAGCUUGUGAGACAGGUACAAACAACUAACAACAUACGAAGAAUGUAAUCGGAUAAAAGAAUGGAAGGGCAGGCGCAAAGAACAGAAGGACGGGCGCAUCGCGCGUGCGUGUUAUACUAGUAAUAAAAGGACGAUGUUUUUUUUUUGAUUCAAUAGAAAGACAUUGUUGAUUACCAAAAUCUUAAGAAAUAAGGAAUCCAUCGAGCCUAACCAAUGUUGGAGGCUGUUUUGAAUUUUUCCAAGUGAACUUCCUCCGAAUAAUUACAAAUUAAUCAACUCAUUCCUAUCGA